AGUGAACGCUGGCGGUAGGCCUAACACAUGCAAGUCGAACGGCAGCACAGUAAGAGCUUGCUCUUACCGGGGGCGAGUGGCGGACGGGUGAGGAAUACAUCGGAAUCUACUUUUUCGUGGGGGAUAACGUAGGGAAACUUACGCUAAUACCGCAUACGACCUACGGGUGAAAGCAGGGGAUCUUCGGACCUUGCGCGAUUGAAUGAGCCGAUGUCGGAUUAGCUAGUUGGCGGGGUAAAGGCCCACCAAGGCGACGAUCCGUAGCUGGUCUGAGAGGAUGAUCAGCGACACUGGAACUGAGACACGGUCCAGACUCCUACGGGAGGCAGCAGUGGGGAAUAGUGGACAAUGGGCGCAAGCCUGAUCCAGCCAUACCGCGUGGGUGAAGAAGGCCUUCGGGUUGUAAAGCCCUUUUGUUGGGAAAGAAAAGCAGCAGGUUAAUACCCCGCUGUUCUGACGGUACCCAAAGAAUAAGCACCGGCUAACUUCGUG
This 492-nucleotide ribosomal RNA is filed under the name uncultured bacterium. RNAcentral's name for it is "partial 16S ribosomal RNA". It matches the Rfam family "Bacterial small subunit ribosomal RNA", at positions 29 to 507 of the family's 1533-position model. The record is from RNAcentral.